UGGGGUAGAGUUUCAGGCUUCCGGCGGCACCACGGUGGGGGGUUUUCGGGUUUCCGACGUCUGAGUGACGGCAAAGAAGGCAGAAGGUCAGAGUAUCCAUGCAUUGGUUUGUUUCUUUUAUUUUUUUUUUCUUUCCUGAGUUGCGACACAUGUGGCAACUGGGACUGGCAAUAGCGUGGUCAAAGAAAUAAUGCUGCAUUGUUAUUUUUUUUU
Molecule: long non-coding RNA, 213 nt
Filed under: Elaeis guineensis (African oil palm)
Lineage: Eukaryota; Viridiplantae; Streptophyta; Magnoliopsida; Arecales; Arecaceae
Description: long non-coding RNA (EGUI_LNC043118)
Source: RNAcentral